GUAGGGGGCAAGCGUUAUCCGGAUUUACUGGGUGUAAAGGGAGCGUAGACGGCAGUGCAAGUCUGAAGUGAAAGCCCGGGGCUCAGCCCCGGGACUGCUUUGGAAACUGUGCAGCUAGAGUGUCGGAGAGGCAAACGGAAUUCCUAGUGUAGCGGUGAAAUGCGUAGAUAUUAGGAGGAACACCAGUGGCGAAGGCGGCUUGCUGGACGAUGACUGACGUUGAGGCUCGAAAGCGUGGGGAGCAAACAGGAUUAGAUACCCUGGUAGUCCACGCCGUAAACGAUGAGUACUAGGUGUCGGGGGUUACCCCCCUCGGUGCCGCAGCUAACGCAUUAAGUACUCCGCCUGGGGAGU
Molecule: ribosomal RNA, 354 nt
Filed under: uncultured bacterium
Lineage: Bacteria
Description: bacterial SSU rRNA
Rfam family: Bacterial small subunit ribosomal RNA
Source: RNAcentral